CAGCUACUCAUGAGACUGAGGCAGGAGAAUCAUUUGAACCCGGGAAGCGGAGGUUGCAGUGAGCUGAGAUCAUACCACCGAGCUCCAGCCUGGGCGACAGAGCGAGACCAUGUCAAAAAAAAAAAACAGGAGUGGGACUGUCUGGUUCUGGCCUGAUCAUGGAAUUCUGGGGACACGGGGUGAAGGUAUCUGUGGGUGCUAGAUCUGGCUUUGCAUCCAGCCAUGGCCUGGACUCACUGGCUUUUCCCGCCUGUGAGUCCUUGAGAGAUGGACAGAAGGUUCUAGACCUGUGAGGGCCGGGCUGCUUGGAUGGUUCUAGAACAGUGGGCUGUGCUUCCUGGCUGGAGAGUGCUAAGCCACCAGCUAGAACACUGUGUCUCCCGGCCAUCUCGGAGAGCGCAGCCCUGGGGCAGAGCCUGUGGGAGUGGGCCCCUGAGGGCCAACCCUCUCCGCUGUCGCCCUCAGUGCCUGGUCCCUGUGACCAUGAAGACCUCCUGGACGGUGUCAUAUUUGGGGCCAGGUACCUGGGGUCCACCCAGCUGGUGUCGGAACGGAACCCGCCCACCAGCACGCGCAUGGCCCAGGCCCGGGAGGCCAUGGACCGUGUCAAGGCCCCCGAUGGGGAGACCCAGCCCAUGACGGAGGUGGACCUGUUCGUCUCCACCAAGAGGAUCAAGGUCUUGACAGCGGACUCCCAGGAGGCCAUGAUGGACCACGCCCUGCAUACCAUCUCCUACAUAGCCGACAUCGGCCGCGUGCUGGUGCUGAUGGCGCGGCGGCGGCUGGCGCGGAGGCCGGCACCCCAGGACCACGGCCGCCGCCUCUACAAGAUGCUCUGCCAUGUGUUCUACGCGGAGGACGCCCAGCUCAUUGCCCAGGCCAUCGGCCAGGCCUUCGCUGCCGCCUACAGCCAGUUCCUACGGGAAAGCGGUAUUGACCCCAGCCAGGUGGGCGCGCACCCGAGCCCAGGCGCCGGCCACCUCCACAACGGGGACCUGGACCACUUCUCCAACAGUGACAACUGCCGAGAGGUGCACCUCGAGAAGCAGCGAGGGGAGGGCCUGGGCGUGGCCCUGGUGGAGUCGGGCUGGGGCUCCCUGCUGCCCACAGCCGUCAUCGCCAACCUGCUGCAUGGGGGGCCUGCCGAGCGCUCGGGGGCCCUCAGCAUCGGGGACCGCCUGACUGCCAUCAACGGGACCAGCCUGGUGGGGCUGCCUCUGGCUGCAUGCCAGGCUGCUGUCCGCGAGACGAAGUCGCAGACGUCGGUGAUACUCAGCAUCGUCCACUGCCCACCCGUCACCACCGCCAUCAUCCACCGGCCCCAUGCCCGCGAGCAGCUGGGCUUCUGCGUGGAGGAUGGCAUCAUCUGCAGCCUCCUCCGUGGCGGCAUCGCCGAGCGUGGGGGCAUCCGCGUCGGCCACCGCAUCAUUGAGAUCAAUGGGCAGAGUGUGGUGGCCACGCCACAUGCCCGCAUCAUCGAGCUGCUCACCGAGGCCUACGGCGAGGUGCAUAUCAAGACGAUGCCAGCUGCCACAUACCGCCUCCUUACAGGCCAGGAGCAGCCCGUGUACCUGUGACCACCUCGUCCCUUGCCUGCCACCGUGCCUUCGCCUCCAUGGCCCCGGAGCCCCAUCCUGGGCCUGCCCUGGCUGGCCAGGACCCCAGUGGUUCUUGGUCCUGUAUGAUUUCCUAAUAUAAAAACAGUAAAAGCUUAUGCAGUUGGCAAAGUCUCAGAUCAGGGUCUAUGGGACUGAGGACUUGUCCUUCCCGGAAGCCACUAGAA
Molecule: small RNA, 1783 nt
Filed under: Pongo abelii (Sumatran orangutan)
Lineage: Eukaryota; Metazoa; Chordata; Mammalia; Primates; Hominidae
Description: retained intron
Source: RNAcentral